Molecule: ribosomal RNA, 253 nt
Filed under: uncultured bacterium
Lineage: Bacteria
Description: partial 16S ribosomal RNA
Rfam family: Bacterial small subunit ribosomal RNA
Source: RNAcentral
UACGAAGGGGGCUAGCGUUGCUCGGAAUCACUAGGCGUAAAGGGCGCGUAGGCGACUUUUAAGUCAGGGGUGAAAUCCUGAGGCUCAACCUCAGAACUGCCUUUGAUACUGAGGGUCUCGAGACCGGUAGAGGUAAGUGGAACUGCGAGUGUAGAGGUGAAAUUCGUAGAUAUUCGCAAGAACACCGGUGGCGAAGGCGGCUCACUGGCCCGGUACUGACGCUGAGGUGGCGAAAGCGUGGGGAGCAAACAGG